UAGUGCCUCCAGAAAGAACACAGCCCUGCUGACACCUUGGUUUUGGCCUGGUGAGACCAACUUUGGACUUUUCACUUCCAAAACUGUUUAAAGAAAAAGUCUACAGUUCCAGUUAGUCUACUUUUGUAACAGGACCUGACAACUCCACUCUACUUACCAUCCUAAAGACUACAGGAAAAACUAGCCCAAGUGACUGAGCCGGGGGGUCCCAGUCAUCAGUAGCAUGGAAAAACAAGAGUGCUCUAGACAGUGGGUGAGAAGAUUCAAGUACCUCUUCAUCCCUGACAAUAUGCUCUUGUGUCUUUUGUAAGAGUACACAGUUUAAAUUUCUAAAAAUUCAUUGCAAUAAAAAGCGAAACAAUCCCUCAUAGAUUUAUAAUCAAAGUAAUGUACCACUUAGAAAAGAUCUGAAAUAAGUGCAAAUACCUAGUACAA
Long non-coding RNA from Rhinopithecus roxellana (golden snub-nosed monkey), 435 nucleotides. RefSeq lists it as uncharacterized. The record is from RefSeq and is a predicted model, not a curated record. NCBI's taxonomy places the organism in Eukaryota, Metazoa, Chordata, Mammalia, Primates, Cercopithecidae. The transcript has 3 exons.